RNAcentral lists this ribosomal RNA (445 nucleotides) under uncultured bacterium. RNAcentral's name for it is "partial 16S ribosomal RNA". It matches the Rfam family "Bacterial small subunit ribosomal RNA", at positions 354 to 796 of the family's 1533-position model. The record is from RNAcentral.
GUGAGGAAUAUUGGUCAAUGGGCGCAAGCCUGAACCAGCCAUGCCGCGUGCAGGAAGACGGUCCUAUGGAUUGUAAACUGCUUUUAUUUGGAAAUAAACUCCGGUACGUGUACCGGCCUGAAGGUACCAAAUGAAUAAGCACCGGCUAACUCCGUGCCAGCAGCCGCGGUAAUCCGGAGGGUGCAAGCGUUAUCCGGAAUCAUUGGGUUUAAAGGGUCCGCAGGCGGUCUUAUAAGUCAGUGGUGAAAGCCUACAGCUCAACUGUAGAACUGCCAUUGAUACUGUAGGACUUGAAUUCGAUCGAAGUGGGCGGAAUGUGACAUGUAGCGGUGAAAUGCUUAGAUAUGUCACAGAACACCGAUAGCGAAGGCAGCUCACUAGGUCUGGAUUGACGCUCAGGGACGAAAGCGUGGGGAGCAAACAGGAUUAGAAACCCGUGUAGUCC